Molecule: transfer RNA, 72 nt
Filed under: Bos taurus (domestic cattle)
Lineage: Eukaryota; Metazoa; Chordata; Mammalia; Artiodactyla; Bovidae
Also listed under: 4 other names
Rfam family: tRNA
About the family: Transfer RNA (tRNA) molecules are approximately 80 nucleotides in length. Their secondary structure includes four short double-helical elements and three loops (D, anti-codon, and T loops).
Source: Rfam by way of RNAcentral
UCCCUGGUGGCUCAACUUGUAAAGAAUCUGCCUGCAAUGCAGGAGACCCAGGUUUGAUCCCUGGGUCGGGAA